RNAcentral lists this ribosomal RNA (497 nucleotides) under uncultured bacterium. RNAcentral describes it as "partial 16S ribosomal RNA". It matches the Rfam family "Bacterial small subunit ribosomal RNA", at positions 28 to 507 of the family's 1533-position model. The record is from RNAcentral.
GACGAACGCUGGCGGCGUGCCUAAUACAUGCAAGUUGAGCGAUGAAGAUUGGUGCUUGCACCAAUUUGAAGAGCAGCGAACGGGUGAGUAACGCGUGGGGAAUCUGCCUUUGAGCGGGGGACAACAUUUGGAAACGAAUGCUAAUACCGCAUAACAACUUUAAACAUAAGUUUUAAGUUUGAAAGAUGCAAUUGCAUCACUCAAAGAUGAUCCCGCGUUGUAUUAGCUAGUUGGUGAGGUAAAGGCUCACCAAGGCGAUGAUACAUAGCCGACCUGAGAGGGUGAUCGGCUACAUUGGGACUGAGACACGGCCCAAACUCCUACGGGAGGCAACAGUAGGGAAUCUUCGGCAAUGGACGAAAGUCUGACCGAGCAACGCCGCGUGAGUGAAGAAGGUUUUCGGAUCGUAAAACUCUGUUGGUAGAGAAGAACGUUGGUGAGAGUGGAAAGCUCAUCAAGUGACGGUAACUACCCAGAAAGGGACGGCUAACUACGUG